Molecule: non-coding RNA, 82 nt
Filed under: Bacillus tuaregi
Lineage: Bacteria; Bacillati; Bacillota; Bacilli; Caryophanales; Bacillaceae
Description: Cyclic di-GMP-I riboswitch
Rfam family: c-di-GMP-I riboswitch aptamer
About the family: GEMM was predicted in a large-scale screen for bacterial structured RNA regulatory elements.
Source: RNAcentral
CGAAAUGGCAAACCAUUGGAAAUGAUGGGACGCAAAACUAGAGGGGCUACGUCUGUAUGGAUAUGCCAGCCAGGUUACCGAA